Molecule: long non-coding RNA, 1493 nt
Filed under: Ananas comosus (pineapple)
Lineage: Eukaryota; Viridiplantae; Streptophyta; Magnoliopsida; Poales; Bromeliaceae
Description: long non-coding RNA (ACOM_LNC021105)
Source: RNAcentral
UUUAUUUCUACAUUUAGUAAUUUAAUAAUUAAAUGGUUCAGUUAGAUCAUCACUAUGAAUGUUUGGUUAUUUGUGAAUUGGUUUGAGUUGAUUUACUAGGAUGCUUGCAAUUGGAGCUUAUGGAUUUGUGGUUUUGGUUUUAUAGAUAAUUGGUUCUCGGACUUAUGUAUUUACGCAUUGUGAUUUUCUACCCCUCGAGGUAUUCGGUUUUCAAACGUGAAGUUUUCGUAUGGAAAACAGUUUUAAAAAGGUUUUCGAAUGGUUUUUAUGGAUGAUUAAUUAGAGUUUAAAAAUAAAAACUUUCGGGUAGGGAACACUUUUAAAUAGGAUGCUUGUUGUACUGUGCAUUGUAUUAUCCAGCGCCUAAGGAGUGUUUAAAGACAUGCUGUCACGCCCCGGGACCCAGCGGAAGCCCGCCCGGCACGUGCCCAGACCCGCUAUACGUCUAAAACAUAUAAGGCGUCUAAAAACAACAAUAAUAAAAGCAAUAAUAAAAGACAUCUAGGAGUAUCAGAACAUAACAAAUGUCUAAAUGCUACAACAAGGGAUAAGAAUAAAAUUGUAAAUCCACUAAAUAAAACAUAAAGUGAUACAAGGAAAUCCUAGAUACAAGUGCUAUAGGUAGAUACAUAGGUGGUCUCUAUACAUGGAUACAAAACCUCUCACUCUCUCUCAACUACAAAAAGAGAGUAAACCACCUAGGCAAAGUACCGCUCCUCGCUAGCUAGUUAAGCGAUCUCCUUGCCGCGAUCCCGUGCCUCCGCUGGUGCCGAAGGCUCUGAAAAGUAAACCAUAAAACAGGGGCGUGAGAACUAUUAAAAAUAGUUUCCAGUGGGCAAUUACUGACUUCAGUGAAUGCACCACAAGGCCCAAAGCUACAAAAGAUGUCAGUGACUAUAAAAGUAGAAAAAGCGAAAGGUAAGUAAAGAUGUAACUUACUACAACAUGAUAUCUCUACUUAGCAUAAUUAGCAUAAGUAUGAAGCAACUAUGCAUGAAGUAAAAGUCUCCAACUACCAUAAUGUUCACAAUGCGAAAUAGUAAGGUUCCGUUGUUUACUAUUCUAGUCAAUGUCUAAGUAGUACACUAAGUCAUCAUCUGUCCACAUGUCAUAAUGAAUACUCAAAGUCAAAUCUGAAGAGACCCACCCGAAGGCUGUCUAUGGCCCUGAGACCCACCCGUAGGCUGUCUGGCUGGUGCCGAGCUUAAUGGCCCCGUGGUAGUCAUCAUCCCCACCCUAGGAAUGAGCCUGUCCCACGGCAAUCCACUUCGGCGCCCAAUCCCGCACGGCGAAUAUGAAUCGCGAUGGCUAUCUCCGGAGUGCCGGCUUGUAGGGAGCGACCCUCACAAGCAUGUGCGAAUGAGCACAAUGGCAAGUAGGCAAACGAUCUGUCGCAAGUACCAAGUCCUCAUGUCUAAUAACAUGGAAUGUGUCAAGCAUCUCAACGGCCUAUCCCUAUGUCAUCAUGUCUCUAACAUGAAAUGUAGCGGAUA